AAGCUGUGAAUGAAAAGGUUUUCUCUAUAAACCUAGGUGGUAGGCCCCCAAAGUGUUCUCAUCUCAGGGCCUCACUGCACACACCUCCCAGCCUGAGAGCAGACAAACAGGCCCACAGCCUCUCCUCUGCUGUGGAGCAGUGCAGCUGGGCCCAGCACACACAGUGAAGCUUACUGUCCCCCCCGCAUCUGGCAGAGAUCCAGGAGCCACCAGCCUCCUGAUGGCAGGGCCUAGCUCUGGGCAUAUUCUUUGGUCUGCUUCUCUGGGACAGUAGGCCCUGCCCUCCCAGGGCCACUGAUGCGGGUGGUGACGCAGAGCUGCUGUGGCCCCUCAGCUCCGCUGGCUUGUUUAUCAGGGACAUCCAGGCUCAGGCCACCGCAUUCUCCCAGAGAGAGCCGCGGAUAGACUGGAACUCUGUGCCAUGUUGAGUGCACACGUGUGACUGCCCCUCCGUGGUACCUUCCACCUCCCUCCAUCCAUGUCUUCUCCGUGUCCUCUGCAAGAGUGAGUGCUCGAGUGGAUGCGCCUGUCCUUCUAGGUCUCUUGGCUGCUCUCAAGGCAAUUCUAACUUGGAGACUUUCAGCUCCUUCAAAGACUAUUAAUCCCUCUCGCCUAGCACAGCUCCUCAGCCGUGGUGUGGCAGCUGAGGAGUUGGGUUUCGGGGAGAGCGACUUUUUAAAAAGGACUUAAUUUCUACUACUGCACUAUCCGUUGUGAGAUAAUUAAACAUGCUAUUUAAUUGUG
RNAcentral lists this long non-coding RNA (744 nucleotides) under Rattus norvegicus (Norway rat). RNAcentral's name for it is "long non-coding RNA NONRATT022629". Lineage: Eukaryota; Metazoa; Chordata; Mammalia; Rodentia; Muridae. The record is from RNAcentral.